GAUGGGGAGCGAAAUUUAGUAGCGAAGUAGCUGAUUUCACACUGUCAAGAAAAGUCUCUAUCGAGGUUAAAGGUACCCGUACCGCAAACCGACACAGGUGGGUGAGGAGAGUAUCCUAAGGCCAGCGAGAGAACUGUUGUUAAGGAACUCGGCAAAAUGACCCCGUAACUUAGGGAUAAGGGGGGCCACCAUCAGGUGGCCGCAGAGAAUAGGCCCAAGCGACUGUUUACCAAAAACAUAGGUUUCUGCUAAGUCGAAAGACGAUGUAUAGGAGCUGACGCCUGCCCGGUGCUGGAAGGUUAAGGGGAUCUGUUAGAGCAAUCGAAGCAGUGAACUUAAGCCCCAGUAAACGGCGGCCGUAACUAUAACGGUCCUAAGGUAGCGAAAUUCCUUGUCGGGUAAGUUCCGACCCGCACGAAAGGCGUAACGAUUUGGGCACUGUCUCAACAACAGACUCG
Molecule: ribosomal RNA, 458 nt
Filed under: Clostridioides difficile
Lineage: Bacteria; Bacillati; Bacillota; Clostridia; Peptostreptococcales; Peptostreptococcaceae
Description: bacterial LSU rRNA
Rfam family: Bacterial large subunit ribosomal RNA
Source: RNAcentral